UUUUUGCAUGUGGGGCCUUCUUUUUUCAACGUACGCAUCAAUAAAGUUAUGCAGUUAUGUGUAGAAAUAAAAUGUGUUCGUGGCUAUUUUCCUUUUUUUUAGCACCCGAUAUAUUUAUUUAGACGCUUCAUUCGUUGCGCCGACGGGCGGCGCUUUCGCUCUUACCCCUUCUGCUGCCAUUCCGUGUGUCUGCUCCUGCCGCUUUCACUGUGUGCACGUGUAGAAUUUUCGUAGUAUGCCUUGAAGGGGAAAAUUUUGGUGUCUGUGAGUGCCACCGUGCUCAAAAUGUCCGAAAAACUACGCAAAGGAAACAAGGCAUGCUGCGCUUCUGUGUGGUGCGACAACUCAGGAAGGAACAGCGCAGCGACAUUUUUCCGCUUCCCAGCGACCGGUAAGCACACCUCUUAUUCGGUCGUUACGAAGAAGCAAGCGCUAUUCUUAUCAGAAAAGCUACAGGGCGAACUGGGAAAUUUUCCGCUGUUGCUUUACAGUGCUUUUUUUUUUUGGCGCAGUGCAUUUUCCCGUAAUGUUGUAAGCAUGUAAAGCUAUACUUGUCGGCAGUUUCUCGUGAGCCGACUGAAGGCAGCUGACGUGCAGACAGAAAUGUCGCUUCGGUAUCGUCUGUGGUAGCCGUUGCUCUUAAUUCCUUUUUUUUUUUUUUCACGAGAAGAAAGCUACAAAUCAUGUGUGCCGAAUAUGCUUUGACGAAUUGGUUUGGCUUUAAAUCAUUCCGAAGCCCAGUUUGUUGUAGUGACAUUACCAGCUUUGACUGUUCAUAACAUGAAAGAAGCCCGCUAAACCAUUUACGUAGCAGUGACCGCUUGCAUUCCGUGUUACAAGAAGUUCGAGUUACCUGCGCGACGGCCGAGCUGCGCUUCGCUUUUCAACCAGUGCUUAAACAAUUUUUUUUGUCUCUGCUUUGCAGUCACAAUACUUGGUUCGCUUUUACGUGUUGUUUUUUGAUAUCCAUGGUGCUAUUUCUUUCAUUUUCUAGGUGUGACGUAUGGCGGAGUGACACGCGCCAAAAGGGGAGACCUGGCGGGGCUGGAAUGAAAGCAAAUGUAUAGUACAGCGGCUACCACCUCUGCUCGUACUACUUCACCGAAUGUGCUUACGCCGACCCUGCCAGAACGCGGCCGCUGUUGACGGCUGUUCCCGCUGUUGCAGUGGAAGCGGUGUCCCUGAUCGAUGAAGGACCCUCCCGGGCACAAGUCACGGCUGAUUCGGCUAAAGACCACCCGGGCCAAAACAGCCUCGCCGCAGUGUCAGAAGGCGACCCCACCACAGCCGGCUCCGUCUCCCAUGAAUCGCCGUCUCAUCUCGGUAUCACGCCAUAAUUUGUACUUACUAUACGUGAUACGCAGCUAUACGCUACUGUGGCAUGUACUGAAUGUCUUCGUUUUCGAUACGUUGCUAAUAAAAUAAGUGAAUAAACCACAUUUCCUGACUACUCCUUUUUCUUGCCGACACAAAAUUUCACGCGUCAGGGCAUGCUGGCUCGCGCGUAUUCAACUGACAAACAUUCCCAAACAAAUGUUUUAUGCACGGGCUGAGCUUUCAGGAAAAUUAGCAACCGAAAGCUGUCGAAAAUAAUAUACGCAGCCGCAACACAACCUGA
Molecule: long non-coding RNA, 1618 nt
Organism: Rhipicephalus sanguineus (brown dog tick)
Lineage: Eukaryota; Metazoa; Arthropoda; Arachnida; Ixodida; Ixodidae
Exons: 3
Source: RefSeq, a predicted model, not a curated record